AUUGAACGCUGGCGGCAGGCCUAACACAUGCAAGUCGAGCGGUAACACAGAGAGCUUGCUCUCGGGUGACGAGCGGCGGACGGGUGAGUAAUGUCUGGGAAACUGCCUGAUGGAGGGGGAUAACUACUGGAAACGGUAGCUAAUACCGCAUAACGUCGCAAGACCAAAGUGGGGGACCUUCGGGCCUCAUGCCAUCAGAUGUGCCCAGAUGGGAUUAGCUAGUAGGUGGGGUAAUGGCUCACCUAGGCGACGAUCCCUAGCUGGUCUGAGAGGAUGACCAGCCACACUGGAACUGAGACACGGUCCAGACUCCUACGGGAGGCAGCAGUGGGGAAUAUUGCACAAUGGGCGCAAGCCUGAUGCAGCCAUGCCGCGUGUAUGAAGAAGGCCUUCGGGUUGUAAAGUACUUUCAGCGAGGAGGAAGGCGUUAAGGUUAAUAACCUUGGCGAUUGACGUUACUCGCAGAAGAAGCACCGGCUAACUCCGUGCCAGCAGCCGCGGUAA
RNAcentral lists this ribosomal RNA (504 nucleotides) under uncultured bacterium. RNAcentral describes it as "partial 16S ribosomal RNA". It matches the Rfam family "Bacterial small subunit ribosomal RNA", at positions 30 to 523 of the family's 1533-position model. The record is from RNAcentral.